Molecule: ribosomal RNA, 274 nt
Filed under: uncultured bacterium
Lineage: Bacteria
Description: partial 16S ribosomal RNA
Rfam family: Bacterial small subunit ribosomal RNA
Source: RNAcentral
AUACGGAGGGUGCAAGCGUUGUCCGGAUUUAUUGGGUUUAAAGGGUGUGUAGGCGGUGUAUUAAGUCAGUGGUGAAAGCCUGCGGCUCAACCGUAGAACUGCCAUUGAUACUGACACACUUGAGUAUGGACGAGGUAGGCGGAAUUUAUGGUGUAGCGGUGAAAUGCAUAGAUACCAUAAAGAACACCGAUAGCGAAGGCAGCUUACUAGGCCAUAACUGACGCUGAGGCGCGAAAGCGUGGGGAGCGAACAGGAUUAGAAACCCGAGUAGUCC